GAUGAACGCUGGCGGCGUGCCUAAUACAUGCAAGUCGAGCGCACAGACGAGGAGCUUGCUCCUCUGACGUUAGCGGCGGGCGGGUGAGUAACACGUGGAUAACCUACCUAUAAGACUGGGAACACUUCGGGAAAGCGGAGAUAAUACCGGAUAAUAUAUUGAACGGCAGGGUUCAAUAGUGAAAGGCGGUUUUGCUGUCACUUAUAGAUGGAUCCGUGCCGCAUCAGCUAGUUGGGAAGGUAACGGGCUAACAAGGCGUCGACGCGUAGCCGGCCUGAGAGGGCGACCUGGCACAGUGGGACGGAGCAACGGCGCAGAAUCGUACGGGAGGCGGCAGUGUGGACUAUUGCAGAAAGGGUGAAAGACUGAUGCAGCGUCGCGGCGUGAGGGAUGGAGGCGUUAGGGUUGUGAAACUCUUUCGCUCAAGGUCAAGCCGCAACAAUGGUUGUGGUGAGGGUAGUGAGUAAAGAAGCGCCGGCUAACUACGUG
Molecule: ribosomal RNA, 489 nt
Filed under: uncultured bacterium
Lineage: Bacteria
Description: partial 16S ribosomal RNA
Rfam family: Bacterial small subunit ribosomal RNA
Source: RNAcentral